This 253-nucleotide ribosomal RNA is filed under the name uncultured bacterium. RNAcentral describes it as "partial 16S ribosomal RNA". It matches the Rfam family "Bacterial small subunit ribosomal RNA", at positions 524 to 776 of the family's 1533-position model. The record is from RNAcentral.
UACGGAGGGUGCAAGCGUUAGUCGGAAUUACUGGGCGUAAAGGGUGCGUAGGCUGGGAGAUAAGUCAGAUGUGAAAUUCCAAAGCUCAACUUUGGAGCUGCAUCUGAAACUGUCUUUCUAGAGGAAUGGCGGAGAAAACGGAAUUCCACGUGUAGCGGUGAAAUGCGUAGAUAUGUGGAAGAACAUCUGUGGCGAAAGCGGUUUUCUAGCUUAAUCCUGACGCUGAGGCACGAAAGCAAGGGGAGCAAACAGG